RNAcentral lists this ribosomal RNA (439 nucleotides) under uncultured bacterium. RNAcentral describes it as "bacterial SSU rRNA". It matches the Rfam family "Bacterial small subunit ribosomal RNA", at positions 351 to 782 of the family's 1533-position model. The record is from RNAcentral.
GCAGUGGGGAAUAUUGGACAAUGGGCGAAAGCCUGAUCCAGCCAUGCCGCGUGUGUGAAGAAGGUCUUCGGAUUGUAAAGCACUUUAAGUUGGGAGGAAGGGCAGUCAGCGAAUACCUGGUUGUUUUGACGUUACCGACAGAAUAAGCACCGGCUAACUCUGUGCCAGCAGCCGCGGUAAUACAGAGGGUGCAAGCGUUAAUCGGAAUUACUGGGCGUAAAGCGCGCGUAGGUGGUUUGUUAAGUUGGAUGUGAAAUCCCCGGGCUCAACCUGGGAACUGCAUUCAAAACUGACAAGCUAGAGUAUGGUAGAGGGUGGUGGAAUUUCCUGUGUAGCGGUGAAAUGCGUAGAUAUAGGAAGGAACACCAGUGGCGAAGGCGACCACCUGGACUGAUACUGACACUGAGGUGCGAAAGCGUGGGGAGCAAACAGGAUUAGA